GGAGGGAGCAAGCGUUGUUCGGAUUUACUGGGCGUAAAGGGCGUGUAGGCGGCCUUGCAAGUCGGGCGUGAAAUCCUCUGGCUCAACCAGAGAACUGCACCCGAAACUGCUAGGCUUGAGUAUAGGAGAGGAAAGCGGAAUUCCUGGUGUAGCGGUGAAAUGCGUAGAUAUCAGGAAGAACACCAGUGGCGAAGGCGGCUUUCUGGCCUACUACUGACGCUGAGGCGCGAAAGCCGGGGGAGCGAACAGGAUUAGAUACCCUGGUAGUCCCGGCCGUAAACGUUGGGCACUAGGUGUAGGGGGUAUCGACCCCCUCUGUGCCCGAAGCUAACGCAUUAAGUGCCCCGCCUGGGGGAGUACGACCGCAAGGUUG
Molecule: ribosomal RNA, 373 nt
Filed under: uncultured organism
Description: partial 16S ribosomal RNA
Rfam family: Bacterial small subunit ribosomal RNA
Source: RNAcentral